UACGUAGAAAGCAAGCGUUGUCCGGAAUCAUUGGGCGUAAAGCGCGUGUAGGCGGCCCGGUAAGUCCGCUGUGAAAGUCGGGGGCUCAACCCUCGAAUGCCGGUGGAUACUGUCGGGCUAGAGUGCGGGAGAGGCGAGUGGAAUUCCUGGUGUAGCGGUGAAAUGCGCAGAUAUCAGGAGGAACACCAAUUGCGAAGGCAGCUCGCUGGAACGUAACUGACGCUGAGGCACGAAAGCGUGGGGAGCAAACAGG
RNAcentral lists this ribosomal RNA (253 nucleotides) under uncultured bacterium. RNAcentral describes it as "partial 16S ribosomal RNA". It matches the Rfam family "Bacterial small subunit ribosomal RNA", at positions 524 to 776 of the family's 1533-position model. The record is from RNAcentral.